This 252-nucleotide ribosomal RNA is filed under the name uncultured Odoribacter sp. RNAcentral describes it as "partial 16S ribosomal RNA". It matches the Rfam family "Bacterial small subunit ribosomal RNA", at positions 524 to 776 of the family's 1533-position model. Lineage: Bacteria; Pseudomonadati; Bacteroidota; Bacteroidia; Bacteroidales; Odoribacteraceae. The record is from RNAcentral.
UACGGAGGAUGCGAGCGUUAUCCGGAUUUAUUGGGUUUAAAGGGUGCGUAGGCGGCAUUAUAAGUUAGUGGUAAAAUAUUGGGGCUUCACCUCACUACGCCAUUAAUACUGUAGAGCUAGAGAACAGACGAGGUAGGCGGAAUGCGUGGUGUAGCGGUGAAAUGCAUAGAUAUCACGCAGAACUCCGAUUGCGAAGGCAGCUUACUAAGCCAUAACUGACACUGAAGCACGAAAGCGUGGGUAUCAAACAGG